GCAGAACAUGUUUUUUGCCGGACUGCGACGACCUACCCCUACAGUGCAACCACAAACGUGAAGAUGUCUUUGUAACGUGGUGCAGCCAUUUUCGCCCGUCAGCGCCCAAAUUGAUUGCUGCAUCCAUUUCAUUCAUGGCUCCUAUACCUCCCUUGAGGAUUCAGCUCCGGCAGAGAGAGAUCAAGAGAGCAGGCAAAAUGACCAGUCAUCGAAACCUUCCUGGAAAACAAAGAUCUUUCCAAUCUAAUCACUAUUUUGAAGAAGAUAUAAAGUUGAUCAUUGAUAUCUAUCAAUAUACCUCUUGUAUGAAUACUGUUUUUUGAUUUACUGAUCAAGGGAUAAAAUAUAUUUCAGAUGACAUUUGAUGUAGUCUGUCAUUUUUCAAUGAGUAUAAGAGGAUAGUUACUCUAAUACCAUACUGAUGUUACUCGGACAUGAUGUCCGUGUAACAUAGGUAACUGGAGGUGUUGAGGUGAAUAUAGACCAUAAAUCUUGCAGGUUUCCUUUCAAUUGUGUUAUCAUCUCAUUAAAUAUGUUUCAUGCAUCAAUUAAUUGGCACAUUUCAUGGAAUGUAGCCAAGAUUUUCUAUGCAAGAGAAAAGAUUGCCCUUUAGAAAAAAACAUGAUCUGAAGAUUGCUAGUUCCUCAUUUGUUUCAUGUUUAUAAAUUGAUAUAAUGUUGCUGUGUUCAAGUUUUAAGUAUUCUAAACUAUUGCUCCCAUCAUCUAAAUGUUUUCCACACACAAAAAAGUGGAGUACAGACUGUGACAAAGUUUCAGAUCAGAAAAUAAAUGAGCAAGUAAAAAAA
Molecule: long non-coding RNA, 806 nt
Filed under: Strongylocentrotus purpuratus (purple sea urchin)
Lineage: Eukaryota; Metazoa; Echinodermata; Echinoidea; Camarodonta; Strongylocentrotidae
Description: uncharacterized LOC115919996
Source: RNAcentral